UGGGUUGGAAAUCCCUCGAAUGUCCCAGAGACGGGACGGUGCCCUUCGGGGAACGAGGUGUGCAGGUGCUGCAUGGCUGUCGUCAGCUCGUGUCGUGAGAUGUUGGGUUAAGUCCCGCAACGAGCGCAACCCUUGUCUCUAGUUGCCAGCGGUUCGGCCGGGCACUCUAGUGAGACUGCCGGUGUUAAACCGGAGGAAGGUGGGGAUGACGUCAAGUCCUCAUGGCCCUUAUGCCCAGGGCUACACACGUACUACAAUGGCGACCACAAAGGGCUGCAAGACCGCGAGGUUUAGCUAAUCCCAAAAAUGUCGCCUCAGUUCAGAUUGGAGUCUGCAACUCGACUCCAUGAAGU
Molecule: ribosomal RNA, 353 nt
Filed under: uncultured bacterium
Lineage: Bacteria
Description: bacterial SSU rRNA
Rfam family: Bacterial small subunit ribosomal RNA
Source: RNAcentral